This 124-nucleotide ribosomal RNA is filed under the name uncultured bacterium. RNAcentral describes it as "partial 16S ribosomal RNA". The record is from RNAcentral.
GCCGGGGCUUCUUAGUCAGGUACUGUCACUAUCUUCCCUGCUGAUAGAAGUUUACGAUCCGAAAACCUUCAUCCUUCACGCGGCGUCGCUGCAUCAGGGUUUCCCCCAUUGUGCAAUAUUCCCC